This 2244-nucleotide long non-coding RNA is filed under the name Salvia miltiorrhiza (redroot sage). Its description in RNAcentral is "long non-coding RNA (SMIL_LNC002751)". The record is from RNAcentral. Lineage: Eukaryota; Viridiplantae; Streptophyta; Magnoliopsida; Lamiales; Lamiaceae.
CUCGGAUAAUAUUUGUAUACUCAAAAUAUUGCCCACCUGAAGACCUUACUCAAAAACUCCCGUCAAAGCGGAGUUACUUACUUCCUUGCUCUGCUCGUGUCUUCAGGGAUCAUCGUCAUCAUCGAAGGUUCAUGUCAUAAAAUGAAUCCCGAUUAGAAACUUAACGACAAAAACUCAUGCCUCAACUCAUGCUCUAUAUUAUAUUCUAUCGCUUAAUCAACUCUACAUAAACUCUUUACUCAUUUCAAAUCCUUAAGUCCAAGGAUAGGGUUCAAGAAAAUCAUGGUUCUAGGUCUCGAUUCAUCUCUCAUAUAAGACUCGUCUAAUCUCAUUCAAACACUUAGGCAACACAAUCACAUAAGGCACAUAAGAAAAUACCAUCAAACAUCAUCAAGACAUGUUCUGUUUUCCCACAGACUCGACUUCAAAAUUUAACACGUUCUGACUCCGACAUCCCCUGGACUCCAGACUCAUACCAAAAGAAAGGUAUUUGAGUCUAGUUUCAUUUAAAAAAAAGUAGAGUCAUAAACUCCAAAUGGUUUGGGAGAUAUGGCGUUUUUACCAAGGUCUACCAUAUUCGGCAGUUUUGAGCAAUCGGAAACAUUGAUUUUUUAAAAAUAGUAAACGUUGUCAAACUGCGCUCAAAUUUGGUGGAUAUCUAGCCCAUACAGUAAGGUUGAUACCAUAAAAAUUUGGAAAGCUAGAUCACACAGGAAGUUACUGAAAUGAAUGACUUUGUCCCCUGUUCUCUGAAAUUCCCGGUAGAAAUGUGCAGAUUUGGUUUUGCAUUUUAUAAAAAUAGUAAAUCAAGUCCAAAUGACUUGAAAUUUUACAGAGGUGCUCAAGACUCAUGUAGGGACAUGCUGUAAAAUUUUCAAAGCCAUUAGACAUCGAAAACGCGUCGAUCACAGUAGGUCAGUAGCCUACGAAAAAUCACCAAAACUCAUCUCAAACUCUUAAAUGCUCAAUUCAACAUUCCUUCAAAGAAAACCAAUCAAAGCUCAUUUUAAACACAUAUAACACUCAAAAACAUUCAAAAAUAUUUAAAAUACUCAUCAUACUUAAAUUAACUCUCCUCUUUUACAUCUUAACUCAAAUCUCAAGGAAAACGUUUCUACAACGUAUCAAGUAAAUCCCCUUCUCAAUUUCAUGCUUAAAAACACUCAAUCAUUCAAAAUGACUUCAUACAUCAUGUAACUCAUUUUACACAUAUAUUUCCCUUUUUAUCAUGUAAACUAACUCUAGUGAAAAACUCAUAUAUCAACAUAAAAUUCUCAACAAAAGCAUGACAACUUUCACAUAAUGGUCAUAAGCAAAAUAGACCUCAUGUUAUCAAUUGUCGACUUCUCAAGAUAUGAAAACUCAAAAAUUCUCAUAAACUAACUCAAGUCAAAAUUUUACUUAGCUUAGAAAAGACUUAAUCAAACAUAUUAAAACACUACUAUCAUGCUCAAAAACAUAUAUCUUAAGCCAAAACACUUAAUAGACACAUAGACAAGAAAGUCCUAAUUUUUAUUAAACUAAACUCUUUGAAAUUUUAUAAACUCACAUGGAUCUUUAAUCUCAUCAUAUAUCUAUCAAUUUUAGCCAUUUAAUCUCACAUCAAAACCAUCAAUUCACAAAUAAGGGCAUAUAUACACAUAUCCCUAAUUCUAGUAAACUAACUCACAUCAAAACUCCAAUUGACAUCAUAUACUCAAAUUACUCCAUCAAUCAUCAUCAUAUACACCUCAUAGACUCAUUUACAUCAUCAAUUUAUCUAUUAACUCUUUGACUCAAAAGUUACCAUUUUUGGGUAAACUAACUCCCAUCAAAGUUUCACAUCUCAAAGCAUAUAUUUCACACAUACAUCAAUCAUCAAUACACAUCACAUAAAUCACUUUUCUCACCUCAAUUCAAGGAAAGAAGAAGAAAAAUUUUUGAAGGGUAAGAUACCCAAAUUUUCGAAAAUUAGAAGAAAAAGGGAGGGGGUGAUUUCUUGCUUCAAUCCUUCAAAUAAACUCAUAUACAAACUCAUACAAAUUAUAUCUAUGAAUAUGGAGAUCACUUACCCAAGUUUUCACCAAUUAUCCAAACUUUCUCUCACUAUUCUUGAAGCCUACCUUCAAGGAUUCUCUUGAAUUUAAGUUGAUAGGAUGUGUUUAUGGAGGAUUUAAGUAGUGAUUUAUGUGUUUGGCAUACUUGGGUGAAGCUUCGAAGGUUUCAUCAAUGGCUAACAAUGGAGGAAAGUAGAGAGAUGAAGGG